RNAcentral lists this ribosomal RNA (441 nucleotides) under uncultured bacterium. Its description in RNAcentral is "bacterial SSU rRNA". It matches the Rfam family "Bacterial small subunit ribosomal RNA", at positions 338 to 795 of the family's 1533-position model. The record is from RNAcentral.
CCUACGGGAGGCAGCAGUCGAGGAUCUUCUGCAAUGGACGCAAGUCUGACGGAGCAACGCCGCGUGCAGGAGGACGCUUUUCGGAGUGUAAACUGCUUUUCUGUGGGACGAGCAAGGACGGUACCGCAGGAAGAAGCCCCGGCUAACUACGUGCCAGCAGCCGCGGUAAUACGUAGGGGGCGAGCGUUGUCCGGAGUUACUGGGCGUAAAGGGCAUGCAGGCGGUCGGACGCGUUUCCAGUGACAGCGGGUGGCUUACCUACCUGAGUAUUGGAAAGACGGUUUGACUUGAGGACUCGAGAGGGACACGGAAUUCCGGGUGGAGUGGUGAAAUGCGUAGAGAUCCGGAGGAACAUCGAAGGCGAAGGCAGUGUCCUGGCGAGUAACUGACGCUGAGGUGCGAAAGCUAGGGGAGCGAACGGGAUUAGAUACCCUGGUAGUC